Molecule: non-coding RNA, 1815 nt
Organism: Myodes glareolus (Bank vole)
Lineage: Eukaryota; Metazoa; Chordata; Mammalia; Rodentia; Cricetidae
Source: RefSeq, a predicted model, not a curated record
ACAAACGUGUACAGGUGUGUGCGGGUCCGGCCCAAUAAUGUGUCGGUGACAUCCCCUGGAGUGCAGGUAAGUGAUAUGGUGGGUACUUGGGCCCAUUAUGCUUCAUGAGGGAGGGGCUUAUUCUGCUCUGACCUCUCUGCCUUCCCCAGCUGACCAUAGCCAUGCACAAAGUGCCAGACAUUAGUGCAGGUGUGAGCUGUUCAUUUGAGGAGGUGACUAAAAGUGAGGCUAUUCUGCUGUCCUCUGGAGAGCUGCGUUGCCCUUCACAUCCCUCCAGGGUCCACGCAUACUGUGCAGCUGCAGCUGCUCUCCAUGGAGACCGGUGUGAGGUUUGCUGGGGUUGACUUUGUCUUCUACAACUGCAGUGCCCUCCAGUCAUGAGUACCAGGUCCAGAAUCUGUCCCUAGGCCUGGGGAUGGAUAGGUGCUCUGGGAUAUAUAAUUCUUGCAGUGUGGUUGCCUCUAGGACUUUCGGGAUGAAUUUGUCCCCACAUCUGUCCAAUCCUGAUGUGCACUGUGUGACUUACGCAGGUUCUGCCUAUCCUCUUCAUUUGUUCCCCGGUGCAUUUUGUGGGAGGGUGAGAACAGGGUGGUGUAACCUUCUCUGUUAUUUCUGAAGCCACUUCCCUCUCCAGGUUUAUGUCCUGUGUUGGCAGUCCUUACCCCUGCCACUUCUGUAAGUACCGCCAUAUGUGUACCAGCCACCCACAGGAGUGCUCCUUUCAGGAGGGCAGGGUCCACAGCCCUGAGGUGAGGUGGUGCAGUGCGCUGCAAAAGAUUGGGCUCCUUGGCUGGCCUCUCACUUCUUUGUUUGUUCUACCAUUUCCUUGGGCCUGGAGAAAGGUGGGUAGCUCAGCAUGCUCUGACUGCUGUUCUCCCAGGGAUGCCCUGAGAUCCUGCCUCGAGGAGACCUCUUGAUCCCUGUGGGCAUCAUGCAGCCUCUAACCCUGCAGGCUAAGAAUCUUCCACAACCUCAGUCAGGCCAGAAGAAUUAUGACUGUAGUCUGUGCACAGGGGUGACUGCCUCAGUUACCUGCAGUGCGCUUUACCAGCAGCAGUGUGCAGUGCCAGAAUGCUUUGGUGAGGUCCAGGUUGGGUCAGCCAAGGACAAUUGUUUUGUUGUUUUUAUUGUUGUUGUCAGUGGUGGUGGUUUGUUGGUUUGUUUGUGUUUUUUUUUUUUUUGGUGUCUUCUCAGCUUACUGAUCUGGAAGCCUCUGGUUGAUCUGGUUGAUCCAGGCAGGCACUUUAUAGUCUUUUUUUUUUUUUAAAUCGGGGAUUACUAAAUUGGGCAAGGAUUUUGCUUACCUUACUUAUACUCCUGUGGUUCCAUUUUUCUUAGUAUUUCUAUGAAGGUGAUGAGUUUGGUGACACCUACCUGAACUUCUCUGUGGUCUGGGAUAGAGAUUUCCCCAUUGAUAAGCCUCGCAGCUUCCAAGAUCCACCCACUCACAGGACCCAAGGAAGGUGGCACCCAGGUCACCAUUGUGAGUGAAAACUUGGGCCUCACUUUCCAUGAGGUUGGCCUGCAAGUAGCUGGUGUACGUUGUAACUCCAUCCCCACCAAAUAUGUUAGGGCUGAAAGGAUUGUAUCUGAGAUGGAGGAAUCACUGGUGCCCAGCCCACCACAUGAUCCUGUUGAGCUCUGUGUAGGUGACUGUUUAGCUGACUUUUGCACACAGUCCGAGCAGCUCUACAGCUUUAUGACCCCAACAUUGGACUGUGUGAGUUCUCGGGCCCCAGCUUCUAGGGGCACUUAGCCCACCAUCUCUGGAACUUCUCUGGAUGCUGGCAGCAGGGUCACAGUGAUUGUAAGAGA